Molecule: long non-coding RNA, 7400 nt
Organism: Xiphophorus hellerii (green swordtail)
Lineage: Eukaryota; Metazoa; Chordata; Actinopteri; Cyprinodontiformes; Poeciliidae
Exons: 2
Source: RefSeq, a predicted model, not a curated record
UUAAGUCAAAGAAAUAUUGCAGGUUUAAGAUUUUGAACUCAAUUAUGUGAGUUUUGAAAGACAAACUUACAGCUGUGAGACGUGUUAACUUUUUCCUCAUUUUGCCGUACCUCCAAAAGUUGAGAGAGCUCAGGUUUUUAAGUGAGCAUUUAAAAAACAAACAAACAAACAAAAAAAGAACUGAAUGAGGGAGUGGGAACUAUUUCCCAGAGUGCUUUGCAUCACGUGUUUGUAUCGAAGAUGGAUGUGUGUUACACCGACCCGCCUCUUGUGUGUUAUCGAGGCAGAUGUUUGUUCAAUCUGACUAAAAUUCAAUAAACUGCAUUUUAGACAUUUUUCCUCCAACUUACAAUAAAUAAUCAAUCUUAACUCGAUAAGGUAAUUCAGAAUGAUACAGAAAUUUAUCACGACGACUCACAAUUAAAGGUUAAUGCACUAUCAGAACUAAAAGAAAAACAAACCCCAAAACAAAAACAAUGUUUAGACUAAUUGUUUUUUGCUGAAUCAUUUUUUGAUGAACUUUUCAUUUUUGAAUUAAAACCAGAACAGCUCUCCCAUUGACUUCACUUGCAUCUCCAACCUUCGUUGUCAAGCCAAAACCCACCUUCGGAUGUUUUGCAGUGUACUUAUUGAAGAUCUGUGCCUGUUUGGGUCGGAAACGUCAAAUCAGCGAUGGAGGCGUAACACACGGCGAGUACGGCGACUUCAGCCUGGAGGCGCGCUGAAUGGAAACGGCUUCCAAGUUUAAAUCCAGUUUGUAGGUAACUGCGAGUUCAUUAAGAAGUGGGCUGAAGGGGGUCGGGGCGGCACGCGCAUCAGGAGCAGUUUGUUCAUUUUCAUAUGCAAAACGUCUGAAAAAGAAAAAAAAAAACAAAAAAAAAACCUUGGGACAUACGGAGAGUCUGAGCUCAUCAUGAGGGGAAACGUAACACCAACCGGACCCUCGGUCAGGAGAAAACACGCAGCCGGCUCAGACUUCAGACGGCUGCCUGCGUGUGGCUGACCGGGUCGAAGGUCAAACGCAGAAGCCGCGAGCGUGAUUACAUAACGGAGUGGGAGCGAGAUGUACUGGAACGGAUCAUUCUGUGUCCCAGACGCCACACCUUCAAACAAUCCUUUCAACAUGCCAGCUUGAUUUUAUGGGAGGUAAUUUUGAAGACGCGCAGCCUGGAAAACCUCAGACAAACACACCAAACCGGGAUGAGUAACUCGGCCUCUGAUGCAUGGAAACAACACAAGUCCCGCUUCGCAACGUGACUCAGGAUGCAGUUGGGGGGGAAGGCGGGAGGAGAGAAAUAACUGAAUAGCUAUGCGGUGAGGCAUCUUGAGACCCAAACCGCUUCCAGGACGCGAUGUGAGACGGACGGCGGAGGAUUGAGGACAAAAAGGACAAACCAGAAUGCGGUUGGACCUGCUCGUUGCUCUGGGUGUGGGCUACCCCACCCCGCAGAGUGGAAACCUAUUGGAUGUUGAGCCAUGCCACGGCAAAGAAAGGGAGGGGGGAGGCAGGAGUUUGGUCACAACAUGUCUUUAAAAUCCCAACAGAAGAAACGGACCAAUCAGGUGCCUGUAAAAGCCCUGGAGGAAAACCAAUAGGAGAGGCCAGUGGUUCAGUUACCUGACAAACCAGAGCGGUGAUGAAGUUUGACUCGCAGCCUUGCAGAGGUAUUAUAACCCCCUGAACUCACUUUAUCUCACUUCUUACAACCAACUUCAUUGUAUUUAAUGGCUAUUUUGUGCCAGACUAACUUGAAAUAUUGCAUUUUUUUAUUUAUUUAUUUUUUUUACAAAGGCACAAGUCUAAACCGACAUAUGUUAUAGUAAAUUACUGAAAAUAAACCAAUUAAAAUGAAACAUUAUGGAUUCAACAUCAAUUGCUAGCACAGCUUAGCAUAGCAUUAAAGGAGUUUUCACUUUUCAUUGCAUGUGAUUUUCUUAAAGCGACUGAAUUGACGAUGCAUUUUUAGAAAGGUAAAACUCUCUUUUUGUGAUUUAAAAUGCCGCGCGGUUUUAUUCUCGGCUUUCAAGUCUUGCUACAGAUUUUCAGAAGGAGUUGAACCGCCACGCCCGGAUGCACCGAUCCACUUUUGUCACUUCUGAUACCAAUAUCUGAUUCUUAGUAUCUGCAGAUACCGAUCCGAUACAGAAAGACUGGAUUGACUAAACACUUUUCUUUGUAAAAAAAAAAAAAAAAAACAAACAAAACAAAAGAAAACACAGGCAUAAAUGUACUGAAUUAUAAAUUUAUUUGAUAACUCUGCACCGGUGCAACACACUUACAUACAUUGAUAGAUUCACAAGCCUGGUCAAACAUGUAAAAACAACUUUAAUUUGUUCUGUCAGUGCAAUUAGGAGUAACAUAAAUAAUAAACUGAAACAAACAAAAACAAUAAGUUGACUAUCUUGGCCCAACAUGCACAAAAUAAACCGGGGGAAAAAAAGUAGUAAAGUUUUGAACAAAAAUAAUUUAUGUUCUUCAAAUGUUUCCUGCAGAACAUCUUUUUCCCCCCCAUGUUCCUGCUGAGCUGCUCUGAAACAUUAUUAUUGCUUCCAUGUAAAAAAAAAUCAUGUUGGUCAAAUUCAAAGGUCACUUCAAACCUAAAUUUGUCAAACUCUGAUCGGUGUGGCUAUUUUAGAAAAGCAUUCCCACAGCAUGAUGCUGCCGUCACUUCUUUAGAUUCUUAGAGUGCAGGAUUAAUAGUUGAGCUGUCCACAGGUUUUCUUCGAACCUCUGCGUCCCAAUUGGGGGAUUUUGUGGCAGCAAGUUUGUUGCGCUGGAUUUGAUCCAGGGGUGCGAGAGGAAAAGGGCGGAACGCAAAUGCACACCGCACUUAUCAGAUCUCUUUUUGCAGAAAACAAAGUAAGAGGCAUAGAUCGUGUCGGUCGACCGCAUGAAACAAACAACAAAACAGAUAGAUUUUUUUUAUAAUUUUUUUGUGGUUGCAAGGUGACAGAAUGUGGGAAAGAGGCGGGGAAACUUUGUCGAGCCUUUUGUCCGGUGUCCCAGCUGACAGCAGCUGCGUUAAAAAUGACUUCCCCUCGCAGGGCGGAAGGACUAGUUUUGGUUUUAAACCCGCCGUCAGAAAGCUGGAUUUGCUCUUCAAACAACGACCCACCCUGCACGUUGGCAUUUUGACAUUUUUAUUUUAUUUUACACAGUGGAGACAUGACUUAAGAGGUGGCCGCUUUCGAACAAGGACUCCACUGUCAUGGCGCGAACGCGGCUGAGUCACGCAUUACCAAAUUAACGGCCGCCUGUUUGUCUCACUGCUGAUGCUAACCACUGAUGUCGGCGUUCAAUCAUCCUGAGAAGUGUGAGGCAUCGGAUCUGAGGAGAUGGAUCUAAACAAAACGCAGCCCAAAUCCCCCCACCCCAAAAUGAAAGGUGUGUGCAAGAGAGGAGUCAGGAGAAUUUCAAAACAAAAGCCUGAAGCCGGCCCGACCGCUGCCCAUGUCACUGCUGGCCUUUUCUUUUUUGCACAAUCACAAAUCUCUGCAGUCUGUGGUCGGCGGUCUCAUUCCUUUGUCGUUUUGCACAACGUCGUACCCUGCCCUGAGAUUUCUUCACUUUAAAAAAAAAAAAAAAAAGAAAACAGCCCUCGGGCUCAUUUACAGGAUUUACAGGGAGGAGGAGGGAUUGCAGGUGAAAUACUUCUCUGAAUGAGGCAGAUCACACAAAAGGAGGGGAGGUAAGAGUUAGUGUUGCAACUCCCACCUGACCUGAGGCUGUUGAGCAACUGAGAAAAAAAAAAAAAGUUAAGCUUUUUCCUCCUGGCGUCACCAGGCUGGUUUUGGUGAUAAACGUCCUGGUGGUGGACAAGCAUUUAAAAAAAAAAAGAAAGAAAACGCCUUUAAUUUUUUUCACGUUUUGUCUCUUUAUCUGUAAACUCUAAUGUACUUUAUGGAUUUCAUGUCAGGUAGACACAAAACAGUGCAUGGCUACAACAAAACAACAACAUGGCAAUCUGAAAAGUGUGGCGUACAUUUGCAUUCAGCCCCAGUGAGUCGGUGCUUUGUAAAACCAAUUACGGCUGCUAGUUUUUUACAUUUAUGUCCUCGUUGAAGAAGUUGACAUGUGUGCCUUUUUGUGACAUGAACAUGAUUGGCCAGCACUUUUCCAGUGGGGGAUGUGUGGCCCCUUCAACCCCCCCUCUUAAGAGCCCCACUGCCUCCACUUCUUCUAGAAAUAGUCCAAGUGCUAAAAAAAAAACCAUUAAUGUACUUUCAUGUACUUUCUAGUAAUCGUUUACUGUUAUUUGGUGUCAGAAACCUCUUAAUACUGACAUCACAAUCAUCGCCUAGCAACCCAAAUAGAGCUCCGCCCACUUUGUUACUAGAACACGAGCGCGUCUGGUGAGCUGGGUUUUUAUUAUGGACCGGAAGGAACAGCAUGUAACCGCGGGGUCAAAGAUGUAGGGUUGCACAGUUGCUCAUGUGUUUCAGGCUAUUUUCACGUGUGUAAAGUGUUGGUGAACAGUUUCGGGCCAGAAGCAGCUCAUUUGCAUAAAAGUGACAGAGUCACUUUUAUGGGAAGAACAGAGUCUAUUUUGAGAGAAUGAUUUUGUGGAAGGAAUGUAGUAAACAACUUUUCUCACAGACUUUUUCUUACUUCUUACUAACGGAUCUCCUUUAAGUUCUGGGCUUUGACUGGGCCAUUCUAACAUUUUACUAUAAUUUGAUCUGAACUAUUCCACUGUAGUUCUGGCUGGAUGUUUAGGAUUGUUGUAUUUUCUAAUUACUUCAGAUAUUUUUAGGGGUUUUAGACAAAAAAAAAAAAAAGAACUGAAUGCAAAUGCACAUCCUAUUUGAUUUACUAUAGUUUAUUUAUUUUCUGUGUUUACCAAACCACCAUAUCAGCUUUAUCGUCUCUGAACAAGUCACCAUAGAUAUUGAAGACAAACACAAACUUCACAGUUUCCAUUCCUUAUUUUCUCUGUUUCCGUUGCUUAGCAGUGCGGUUAUUACCAGCUUCCUUUUCCCAGACAAUGGAUGCAUAUUUUCACAUUCUACGCCUCACACUGCUCAACAGGAAGGGAGUCAUUUCUCACUCCUAACCAGCCGGGGAUUAUUGAGACGUGGCUCCGGUUCAGGUACAAAACACAUUGCUAACCGCUGGACCUGCACAGCACAACCCGCGCGACACAACAGCCUUUUUCCCCCACACCUCCACUGAGCUCAUGCCUGUGAAGGUAACAGCAGGUCAGAGAGUCUUUCUUAAAGGUUUAUCACCUAAAAUAAAAGGACUUCUAGCAGCAUCAAGGGAUGGAGUGACAAACUGUGUGGGUUGACGACGGGUUUAAGGAGAUACUUUAUAUAGUAGUCAGGUUAGACUCCAACAUGAGAACCUUAAGAUGCUGGUUUCUUAGUAAACACUAAAAUACUUAUGCUUUUUUUAAAUAAUAUUAGUGAACUGCUGCCAUAUUUAAACUGGUGACUAAUAUGUUGCAGUCAUCAUGUCCAAAAAUAUCCUGUUAAUUCUGCUCUUUUGGAGUGACUGUACGAGAAAAUGUACUGGACUCGGUUACAGAAACUCUUAAAUUAUGCAUAUGAGCUCAAAUGUUUACAUACACCCAGCGGCGGUUCUUGCAGGACCGGUGCCCUGGGUGAGCCCCUCCUUCUGCUGCCCCCCCAACCAAUUAAAAUGCAAAAAAUGAUCACAAUUUUAUUUUUUGUAAUCUGGAAUCCCAGCACUUAGCAGGAAACAAAAUGAAAUUACUCCACAUGUAUACCAAUAGCAGAGAACCACUGACAGAUAAGUUGUACUUUAUUUUCUAGUUCUUGGUCACCCUGCCCCUUUCUAAUGCCACCCUGGGCAACCGCCCAUACCAAACACAGCCACUGCUCACACCACUUAUAGUUAGAUCAAUGUCCUUCAACGAGUUGCAGAUUUAUUUUUUUUUAACAACAAAUUUCUGAAGUUUAGCAGAGCUAUCCUAAAUUGUUUGAUUUCCACGGACAAACAUGUUUUCCGUUGUCUUCUGCUUGAUGACAGGCUUCCCCUUCAGUGGCUCCUGGGUUGUGACCGUUUAGGUGAGACAAUAAAAAGCUGGAGAAAAAUUGGGUGUUUUAGUGGAACAACAGUGUCAAACACAGAUUAAAGAUGGUUUUAGGAAAGACGAAGCAGGCUAGCGUCAAGUUUCUAAAGCCACGUCUGUGUGAAGGAACCGACCAAAUUAAAUGAGAACCAAGAAGAAUUGUAAAAAAAAAAAAAAAAUACACCAGUAAUUACUUGUGGCACUUUCUGGAAGGUGUGUGUCCUGUUAAUUUUGGAGUAAAAUUAACUACAUUUCAGCAAAAAACCAAAAAUAAAAACACAGUCAAACAUGGACCUAUACUUCCACCUCUGAUUGGCCCAAAUAAAUGCAAAAUGAAGGUUUUUAUGUGCCUUAGUCAAAUUUGAGAAUAAAUCUGAGACACACUGAUGUGACCUUUAUCUAGUUGUUUAUAUGAACAAAGAUAGUUUGAUGAUCUGGACCAUUUAAAUGUAACAAAAAAGCAAAAAUAAAUCUUUCUCACUUUUUUCGAGCAUUGUAUCUCAAUGGAAAAUGUACUUAAAUAUUUCCCACUCUCACUUUCUACUCGGUUUAUGAGUAAAAUGAAACGAGUAAAUACCAGCUUAAAGCCAAACGAAGAGAGUAUGCCAAGCAAGCAACUAAUAAAACCUGCUAGGGAUCAGUUUUACGCAUCUGUAAAGCGGAAACUCUAGUUUUAUUGUACAGUAAACAUUUCUAGUGAUUUUCUAAAGGUUAAAUAUCAUCUGAGCCACAGUUUUCACUCAACAACAACUAUUUCCUCAUGUAUUUAGCCGAGCUAGCAUGUUUCCACGAUUACCAACCGCAGAGGUUUCAGUUACUUGGCAACUUUUCCCCCUCAAAUCACAACAUCUAACUCUACUGCAGUCCUUAUGUCAUCACUUCCUGUCGUUGCAAAGCAUUUCUACUUCCUCCUGCUCCCAGUACAGUGACACCCAUUGCUUUUUUUAAACUUUUUUUUUUUUUUUAUUUCAUCCAGCUCACACACACAAAGCCUUCCUCUCUCAAUGAAAACCAGACGCACACGGCGUCCUCACGCUCCGAGCCAAAAGAAAACAACUCCCAGCCGUAGCUAGGCAACCCCAAAUAUGAGUCAUCCCACCGCCGCGCCCUUCAUCAACGGAUCGGCCGCCCGCCUCUUCUACGAGGUUCUGUUUUAGAGGCGACGUGAGAAUAAUUCGACUAGCGACCGGACGUCUGCGUGUUUCAUCUGGCAGAGCGAAGUGGGUUCGUUUCUGAGCCGCUUCAGGAAGACAGACGUGCAUACGAGGACGGUUUUACUUAUUAUUCUGUUCCUUGACAUCAUAAAAAAAAAACUUAUUGAAGAAGUUGUAAAAUGAAAUUUAUGACAAUGGUUGCAUUUUAAAA